Molecule: ribosomal RNA, 372 nt
Filed under: uncultured organism
Description: partial 16S ribosomal RNA
Rfam family: Bacterial small subunit ribosomal RNA
Source: RNAcentral
GGAGGGUGCAAGCGUUAAUCGGAAUUACUGGGCGUAAAGCGCGCGUAGGCGGUCUGGUCAGUCGGAUGUGAAAGCCCUGGGCUUAACCUGGGAAUUGCAUUCGAUACUGCCAAACUAGAAUGUUGGAGAGGGAAGUGGAAUUUCCGGUGUAGCGGUGAAAUGCGUAGAUAUCGGAAGGAACACCAGUGGCGAAGGCGGCUUCCUGGCCAAACAUUGACGCUGAGGUGCGAAAGCGUGGGUAGCGAACAGGAUUAGAUACCCUGGUAGUCCACGCCGUAAACGAUGAGAACUAGAUGUCGGGAGGGUUUAGCCUCUCGGUGUCGCAGCUAACGCGUUAAGUUCUCCGCCUGGGGGAGUACGGUGGCAACACUA